GGCACACUGGCUGCUUACUGGAGCCCUGUCCAUCACGGGAUCUCAGAGACCUGUCUGUGUGAAAGGAAUAGCAAUACGAUGGAUUCUGGUCCCAAAAUAUUUCUAAAUAAGGCAUGUUAUAGCCUUUUGACUUUUCUCUCCCUUGGUGCCCCUUUCUUCAGAAAAAGACUUCUCAUCUUUCUCCAGUGAAGGUGUUUCAUAGUGAUGGGCAGGCAUUCUCCAGAUGGCUGAAAAGCAAAGCGUUCAGCAGGCAGUAGUUUUAAGCCUUAUUCCCUCCCAGAGGACAUGCACCUAAUUGGCGGGAGGCAGUGUGACAACUUGGAGAGAACACCCAGGUAGCUGCGGGCCGGGGGACAGAGAGGAGAUACAAGAGGCCUACGGACACAGGUCUCCCGCUCAUCUUUCUAGUACUGAUGCACAGGCCAGGGGUGACUGUCCCUGGCACCUCCAAGGGAGCAGCCUGUUCUCCCUCUGGGAGCAGCUGCCAAGGCAAGGAGUGAGCUCCUGUAAGGGAAGCACCUCCAGCCAGGGGUGUGGGGCUGCCGUGCACAUCUCCAGUGGGCAGGCGCUUCUCUCCGCCUCCCUUGAUGGACAGCUUCCUCCCUUGGUUGGCAAAAGCCAGUGUCAGGAGGAGAGCGGUGGGUUUCUGACCAGGAACGUGCGUGCUCAGCUGCAAAGUGCCCGUCGGCAGCUCCACGCACCACCAAGGUGCCCUUUACGAGACGAUUCCUAGUCCAGUCAUCAUCAGGUUGCAGAUGAAAAUGCUCAGCAGAGAACGAUGCGUGAUGCAGUUGUUGAGCUUUCCAAAAACUUUUUCAUGAAAUAGUUACAUGUAUGUUGCAAAAGAUUUCUGAAACUGAAAUGCCCUCUGUCAGAUUCCAAGGUCAUUUGAGUUGAAGUCGGCUGUCUCUGGGGUCAUACUAAGCCCCACUUUUGAAAGCAGCCCUGGGCUCUGAAUUAACUGACACUGCUGCAUCGGUUUUCUCUUUCAUCAGACUUCAUCUGAAAAUGGAAGCGCAGCAUUCGUUUGAGAAUGGUUAGAGAAAAGUGAAAGAAUUGUACAUAUGGGAGAGAAUACCUUGAGAAUAGUAGCAAAAUACUGUAAAUAAUAUUCAUUUCCUCAGGGAAAUUUAAAGGGUAUGUGAAAAACAGAUCUGGAGGAUCCUAAGACUAGAAAGACUUAUUAUCUCGAGAGUCUUUUCUAGUUAGAACAGUUUGGUGGGUUUUUUUUUCAAUCAACAUGAUAUCAUUUCAAGACAAAUUUACAUGAACUGGACAUUACCAACUUUUUGAGGGGUGGAGGAAUGCUCUGUGAAAAAGAGCUGUUUCUUUGUAGCUGCCCUGCAUCUAAAGCUGACAUUUGAACCCCAGGCACAGCCCCUGGUGAGUAAUCCUAGGCUCCCGUAAGGCUUUCUCUGAAUGUAAUUGUGACUAUGAAGCCUUGGUGUUCCUUUGUAUAAUCCCUUGGUUGGGUGACUGAUUAUUAGCUCUAAGCCGAAUUCUGUAGGUAAAGCCUUUAAAGAGGUGCAUUUUUGCUUAAAUAGCAUGUUAAGGAGCAAACUUCCAUGGACUUUUGUGGACAAGGUGCUGCUUUUUCUCAUGACCCUGUAGAAUUUCUAACGACCACAUCAACCGUAGCAUUGACUUGUAUGAACGCAGGGAAGAAUUUGUGCAUACAAAUGAGUGGAAACAGAGCAGGCAUCAUGAAUAUGGAUGAGGAUGUGGAUCAUUUUGGAGAAUGCGCUGGGCACAUGGGUCAACUGGAAAUUUUGUUUCUUUAAGGGAAAUAACCCUACCAGCGGCACACACACUCUCUGUGUUCCUCUUACCUGUGGGGAUUCCUCCAUAUGGAACUGUUUCCCGUGGGUCUUUUUGCAUUGUAACUAGUCCAACCAGAAGUCAGUAAACAGGACAAGUUAGCACUUCUUGGUGUCAGUUGUAUCACCAUGUGAUGCACACCAAGAGAGCAAGGAAGCGUAAAAUGUAUUUAAGACCACCUGGUUUGCUUAUUGUGACUGACUUUGAAAAAGCCCAUAGCCGAUUAUACACAUGCUUUAAAAGGUGUAUCUAUCAUAGAACCAGAAAUCAAACUGGGAAUUUUACUUCUGGUCCUGUUCUGUAAAUAGUUCCUUUAUUUUGAAGACAAUCUCAUGUUUUAUAGCUUUUCUUGUGGGUCUGAGAAUCACAAUGGUAAUGUGUUGUGUCAAAAUGUAAUCUUAAAUACAAUAACGGUUAUAACUUAAUUUUCCAAACGAGACAAGAUAUUUCCUGCUUAGGCUUCUACAGUUCUAAGACACAUGAUCCUUUUUUUAUAACAAGCAUGAGUUCUUACCUUCUGGAGUUAACAGAACUGAAAAUAUCUUACAAGUUGCAGUGUUUUGUAAUCACAAAGAACAUGAACAUUUUCUGGGAAACGACCUUGGUUUUCUACAUUGUAGCUUAUUUUUUAAAAUACAGUGUUUUACCAGACAGGAACUGUUAAUAUUAUAAGCAGUUCCUGCUCUCCAGACAAAGGGCUAUGCCUCUUUUCAGCAAGUGUUUUCAUGCAUAUCUUUCCAAUUAACCCUCUGCAGCGAGGGUAGAAAUGCAGACCAGCUGGGAAGAUCAUCACAGGAGAAUCAAGAUGCAACAGCGACUCCUUUGUCAUUACCAGUGUUUUCAAAGUAUAAUGGAAAAAAGACAUGUUAAGAAUCAUCCUAGGUAUCUUAAAUCUAAAAAAUGUCAGUAGAUAUGCCUAUAGGCAAUGGGAAAACUAUUCUUGCAAAUUCUUUAGUGUAAAAUGAUAGAUUCUGUUACAAAGACAAGCUUACCACUUGACCCACCAGAACCACAAACCUGCCUUUAACUAGCAAGUAUCAUUUGGUGGAAAUUUCUAAAGUCAUGGUGGGUCAGCCCAAAGAUAGAACUCUUAGGUGAUCAGUGGUGUUUAAAAUAAUUCUGUCCCCAGCACUAACUAAAUAACUCGAAUUUCCUUAUCGGAACAAGUGCUGGAUUUUUCACACAAAGAAUUCGCAGACACGCAAGGUUGAGAUCAGAAAGUCACUGUAUUCCCUAGAGUCGGGAAACAAGGAAGGGAGCCAUGGAGCGUUUUUGAACUGCACAAAUAAUUCUGAGCAUUGCCAAAUCCAUUUCCUAAUACUGUACAGUUUUUUCUAGCCCACUCACUGAUAAAACAAGAAAACAUCUUUUUUUCCCCCUAAGAUUUUAAUAAUUCAGACGCUAGACUAAUUAGCCAAGUAUGCAGAUAACAUCAAAAGAAAAGCCAGGAUAGAAUGGUCAUCUACCCCUUGGGCAACUCCUGUGAGGUGGUCAGGGGGUCCCUCGGAUCUUGCUUUCAAGUAGGCUUUCGAAUCUGCACCCAUGAGGACUGGGAAUGCACAGAGUUAGGGAAAACUGUGCAUGGCCUCGGCUCCCAGUCUCUGAGAUGAGGCCAUCUGAGAUCUCUCUCUUCAUUCCCUUGGAGCAUCUCCAUUGUUAGCAUGAGAGUCCCCAAGAAAUGUUCCUUGCUUUGUGGUUUUGAACCAAAUGAGUCUUGCUUCAUCUUUAAAUAAAAGCUGCCUGAUGGUGCAUGGCACAGGCCUUAGAAUGGCCAGGCAGGUUCUAUAAAGGAACGACUCAGCUCAGGCAGAAGAGGGACCCUGGCGAGUGGUGGAGAUGGUACUGAAGCAGAGAACACAUGCCCCCUCUGACGGGGGGACCCCGCACUCAGCUCUAGACAAUCAGAACCACACAGAAAUCAGGCCCAGGGCUGCUGGCCUUCUGACUUGGACAUAUGCUGUCACGUGACACUGAAGUGUUGACAGCUAAGUCAGAUUCUUGGCCAACACUAAGCAGACCAAAGAGAGCCCGUAUGUGGGCAGAUACAGCCUUUGGCCACCAGUUUGAACUGUUGGGGAAAGCACAUGUCACAUGCCGUGGCCAUCGAGUUUUUCCAUCAGCCCCACGAACGCACACGUUGGUACUGUCUGGGCAACUAAAAUCAAAGAAGGGAAAGAGGUCAGUUCUCCCCAGGAAAUCAUUCCCAUGGAAGACUUGAAUACAGAAAUCUAGUAUCCUUGAACCAGCCUUGCCUCGGAUCCAAAGAUGCUGAGGUGGCGUCCAGCUCUCCCCCUGCCUGCUGGCGUGCCCAGGCCAUGCCCCAAAGCAUCGAGUGACUGUAAUCCCGACGUUCUUACUGUUUUCGCUACCGUGACCACUGUGACGAGGGGCUGGCAAAGAGCAGCCUGUGCCUUCAGAGAAGGCCGGGAGCCCCAGCCGUUAAAGCUAGCCCACGUUGCCUCCUUGUGCCAAAGCCCUCUGCCGCCCCCUCCAUACUCCUGCCCGCUCCAUCCCGCCUCACGAGUUUUCGUUCCAGGGUAAAAUUUCCGUCUUUCCCCUUUGAUUUGGCAAAAUCCUUGCCUCAGAAUGCUAGAUACUUAAGUAUUUUUGAGUGUCCACUAACCUCAAAAUGGAGUUUUUCCACAGAGAAAAACCUUAGCCCUCAGACGAAGACAAAAUGGGAAUAAAUGUGUCAUGGAAAAAAUUAGAAGUCGCUUCCUUCAUUCGGAUGGAAUAAGUUAUUUCAGACUGUGUCUCACACCAGAGUCCUGACAGCGUUGGGAAAACCACUGACCCUUUCCCAUAUACAGGAAAGUCUGUCUCUUUCAAAUACACGAUUCAUUUGACCUUCCUAAGAGUCCAGUGUAGAAGAGGGAUAUGUAGGAUGACUAUCAUGGGCCUCCAAGGCCAGCCCGGAGGAGCCUCGAACCUGUGGGUCAGCCUCAUUGCUGCCUGCAAGGAGGAGAGAAGGGGCUUGUUAAAGGGCUGACUCAGCCCUUGGUCUUCCAGAAUGGCUCUAGACCUGAGAAGACCGGGGACGCACCAUGUUCUCAACCCAUCCUUUCAAUCCAGGUCUUUCAGCACAGAAAUAAAGAGCCCGCUCAGUCCCACAGUCAGAUGCCAACUAUUAAAUCAUGCCCACAUGCGUCCCUUUAGGGUAACUACCCUGCCACUAUUCCCUAAGUUGCAACCAUCCACAUGGUUAAUUAUAGGAGUUUUAUUAGCUAACGCAAUAUUCUGAGUAAAAGUUUUGACUCUUUGAGAAAUAGUUAUUUUGCUGCUAACAUUCAACACUUGCUACCCAUGUAAAUUUAAAUCAAUGCCAGAAAAUUUAAAAACAGCUCAAACUUACAAUUGGUAGUGAUCAAACUGAAAAGUACUGUCAACUCAAAGUUGGAAUCGCCUGGUCAUAGGGUGCAGUAAUAUUUAAAUACGAAUGCAAUUUAAACAGCCUUGGCAUGCCUGAGGUUUCUGUCAUUGUGAGUGAUUAAAAGGCCGUCCAAUACACAAAUGGAUUCCAUCUGACCCUUCUCCCAUUAGUUUACCAGGUUUCACAUCUUGAGUUUACGGUAAAGCCACUCACAGGGGCUUACUGAUGGAGCUAGAAGGGGCCUAAACCAUCCUGGCCCUCCACCUACUUCAUCAACGGGCUUUUUGAUGAGUGAUACUUUUAUGAUGUUUCCUGGCAGUGUGGUGGCUAAGAUUCAGCCCUCUCACCACCACCACGGCCCAGGGUUCCCUUCCUGGUCAGGAACCCACACCACCCAUCUGUCGGUUUUCAUACUGUGGUGGUUGCGUGUUGCUGUGAUGCUGAAAGCUAUGCCACCUGUAUUUCAAACACCAGCAGGGUCACCCAUGGUGGACAGGUUUCAGUGGAGCUUCCAGACUAGACAGACUAGGAAGAAGGACCAGGCCACCCACUUCCGAAAAAAUUAGCCACGAAAACCCUGUGAAGAGCAGUGGAGCGUUGUCUGAUAGAGCACCAGAAGGGGAGAGGACGGCACAGAAAGACUGGGCAGGAUUCCGCUCUGCUGCGGAAAGGGCGCUAGGAGUCAGAAUGGACUCCAUGACACUGACAACAAAAAGUAAUACAGUGCUGGAGGAGGGAGCCGCUGAGACUCUCUCCUCUGCUGGAAAAGAUGCCCAUUUUGCAACAAUUAGCACCAAUGCUGUGACAGGAGCCGGACUUAAAAGGACCCGGGCUUUAGGGGACGGGAAGAAAGCUACCGUCCAGAAGGAAGAUAACUGUAGAUUUUGAAAGAAGGUGGAGAUUGUGAAUUCAACACUUAAAUUGCAGUCCUCGUUUUUAAAAAAUGUCUCAUACUGGGCGCCAUCCGCGUAAUUAUUAACUGCCACCUUCCAGAGAGAAGCUCCCCUUUAUUUAUGUUAUGAAAAUGUUUAAUUCUCAAGUCUAAUUAAUUGUUACAUUUACUUACUGGGAACAAUCGCCUAAAUUUUUAAUUCAGGAAAUUAGCCAGAGUAGAAAGUAGCAACUUCUGAAAAAGGCAAGCAAGCUGUCAUUAACAAAAUUUUCUUUAAAAAAAAAAAAAAAUGUUGCUGAUCUAUUUUCUUCCAAAUUCUCUCUCCAUCCGUGACUAGAAAGGAAAACCGGAACUCUGGAGAAGCUGCUGAGCUUCCAGAAGGAAUAGUCCUCAUUCUGGUUAUUGGUCUUGUUUCCCCCGUCUUGGCACCCACCUUGCAUUCGCAGGUGACACCUGACUCUCCCCUCUUGGCCCCCAUCCGCCCGAGCUGAGGCCGUGCGCUUAUUAUGUGCGUCCCCUUCCAAAAGCCCCAGAUUACACCUUCUUGCUUCUGUGCUGCUGACUUGGCCCUCUUAAGCUAAGGUCCCAGAGGGUAGCUGUUACUGUGACGGGUGUGUUAGGCUCAGUCAAGUGAUCAGAGCCAACACAGGCAGAGGAAGAGAGCCCCGGUGUGGUCGCUCCGGGCCUGAUCUCUGCACCGAUCAUGGGGCAGGAAAAUGAAUUGGCCGGUAUUAUGUGACAAGGAAGUGACCCACCCCUGCAGGGUGUAAUUGUUUUAACUCUAUAUUUAUGCACAGAGGAAACUGCUCCAAUCCACUCACGUUGUUAAGCAUUAGCCCCUCCCCCCAGUGGAGCCCCGCCUGCCUCC
This 6948-nucleotide long non-coding RNA is filed under the name Equus caballus (horse). RNAcentral describes it as "lncRNA (ENSECAG00000049467.1)". The record is from RNAcentral. Lineage: Eukaryota; Metazoa; Chordata; Mammalia; Perissodactyla; Equidae.